Molecule: ribosomal RNA, 240 nt
Filed under: Triticum aestivum (bread wheat)
Lineage: Eukaryota; Viridiplantae; Streptophyta; Magnoliopsida; Poales; Poaceae
Description: partial small subunit ribosomal RNA
Source: RNAcentral
AUGAGGGUCUCGGUGAGGGAAUGGUGGACAGGAAGCAUUCAUAUCCGUAGCGAAUCCCCCAAGGCGCUUGCUUCGCUGAUGAUGCUCAUCUCCUGGGAGAUUUGGUCGGAGCGCAAUGCUAGAAUUUUCCGCAAUACGGCCGCUCCGUCGGCGGCCCUUGUUAGUAAGAUUAAAGAGGAGUUGUCUCUUUGGGCUUUGGCGGGCGCCAAGCACUUGAGUAUUGUAAUGGCGCGAGAGUAG